CACGAUCACUGAAGUUAAGCAACGUUGAGCCUGAUUAGUACCUAGAUGGGUGACCGCUUGGGAAUAAUACGGACUGUAA
Non-coding RNA from Acanthosepion pharaonis, 79 nucleotides. The record is from the annotation of a GenBank genome assembly. Lineage: Eukaryota; Metazoa; Mollusca; Cephalopoda; Sepiida; Sepiidae.